GUAGAUGGGUAUUACAUCUAUGGUAUUUCUCUUUACUGUUUGAACAUAUAUUAAACAUGGCACCGCGUAUGUUUUGAAUGAACGCAUAAUAUACUCAAGUUUAAGGAACUAAUAUAAAAAUAAUUACAAUAUACAAAAUAUUUUAAAUUCAGAAUUAAAUAACUCAUUGUGACAAACCUAAUUGUGCGCUACGGAAAAAGGUAGUUUAGAUCUCUCAUAUACUCGACAGUAUUGUGCAAUUAUGUUCCGCAUGACUGAUUGUGGGCUACAGAAAUAGAUAGUUUAGAUUUCUCAUAUACUCGACAGUAUUGUGCUAUUGUGUUCCACAAGGCUGAUUGUGGGCUACGGAAAUAGACAGUUUAGAUCUCUCAUAUACUCGACAGUAUUGUGCAAUUGUGUUCCACAUGAAUGAUUGUGGGCUACGGAAAUAGACAAUUUAGAUCUCUCAUAUACUCGACAGUAUUGUGCAAUUGUGUUCCACAUGAAUGAUUGUGGGCUACGGAAAUAUACAGUUUAGAUCUCUCACAUACUCGACAGUAUUGUGCAAUUGUGUUCCACAAGACUGAUUGUGGGCUACGGAAAUAUACAGUUUAGAUCUCUCAUAUACCCGACAGUAUUGUGCAAUUGUAUUCCACAUGACUGAUUGUAAGCUACGGAAAUAAAUAGUUGAGAUCUUCUCAUAUACUCAACAGUCUAUUGUGCUAUUGUAUUCCAAAAGGCUGAUUGAAUGGUACGGAAAUACACAGUUGAGGACGAUCGUUUCGUAUACUUGUAAUAUCAUUACAGUUUGUGUCGUUUUUGAACGAUAGGUGUUGCUUAGAGAUCAAUUAAGACACACUAAUAUUACUUUAAUGUAUGUGAAAAGAAAUAAGUGAUUUCAGUACAAAUACUUUGUUUUUAGUGAAUUUUCAAAAUAAACAUUUUUAGAGGUUUACAGAAUAACGAAUAAGAAAUGUUAAAUAAUCGCUUUAACCAUUGCAAGGGCCGUAAAUGGACAAAAUAAAACUUAAAUGAUUUAAAUAAUUUACACACAGUCAGUAGUUUCAAAUUUUAUAUACAUGUGCAAUUGUACAGAGUUUACA
Molecule: long non-coding RNA, 1082 nt
Filed under: Mytilus galloprovincialis (Mediterranean mussel)
Lineage: Eukaryota; Metazoa; Mollusca; Bivalvia; Mytilida; Mytilidae
Source: RNAcentral